RNAcentral lists this ribosomal RNA (1272 nucleotides) under Triticum aestivum (bread wheat). RNAcentral describes it as "partial small subunit ribosomal RNA". Lineage: Eukaryota; Viridiplantae; Streptophyta; Magnoliopsida; Poales; Poaceae. The record is from RNAcentral.
AUGACAGGGAACCGGCGCCACCGCCGGCGCCGGAGAGCGCGACCGCAGCAGGCCGCCGAACCCUCGCCGCCGCCGGCACCAGCCAGCCUCAGCUCCAGGGAAGUUGCUGUUGCAGCAAGGCCCUCUAAGAAAAUCUGUGAUGCCUCUGGAUCUAUUUCCUCAUCCUCAUCGGGAUCUCAUGCCUGGGAAAGCCUUCUAGACAGCCUGCUCCACCAAAUCAUUUCGCUCAUUAGCUCAUUUCAUGACUUCCUUGCUUUCCGUGGCACCUGUCACUCAUGGCACGCCGCAGCCUCUUCCUUCCCAUCUGUAUAUACCUUCAGCUUCCCACCUCUCCACCUCAAACCAGAUGUAAGCCAGGAGAGUUACAACUCAGAUCGGAAAUCGCAGCUUGUUGAUCCUGCUAAGAAAAGUUUAUCCCAUCGUUGUUCAGCGCCUGGAAUUACUCCACAUCCCAUGCGCUAUCUGGGCUGCUCAUAUGGUUAUCUUAUCUUCUCUGAUAGGAGACACUGCCAUCUCGUCGAUGUGUACACUGGCACAAAGGUGAAGCCACCAAAAUUCCAAUCUGAGAGCAACACUUUGAUCUACCUUGGCAUCCUUACGGCUCCACUAGAUUCGCCCAAUUCACGUCUCAUCCUUUUCUCGAGAAUCUCCAUGCUCCAGUGGCAGGUUGGAACAAAUUCUUGGACAGAGCACCCUCAGGUUGGUGAACUCAUCCAUCAGAUUGUGCUCUUCAAAGGCCAGAUGUUUGCCAUGGACUUUGUUCAAAGGCUACAUACCAUACACAUAUCACCUGAGCUCAGCAUGCAGGAAGUAGCAGUUAUGUGGGAACAGAGCAUGCUCGUAGGCCUUCAUUCUAAGCCAUGGUUGGUGGUCUGUGGUGACAUGCUUCUCUUGGUAGAUCUCUCGGUAAGCAUGGACCAACUGUUUGGCUUUCCUGGCACCUUUCAAGUCUUCCGCCUCGACUUCUCAGUUGAACCAGCUAAGUGGGUGAAGAUGGAUAAGUUGGACAAUUGGGCUCUCUUCCUCACCAAUGAUAGGAGAAACCCUACAUUUUCUUGCAUGAACCCUGAAAGAUGGGGAGGAAAGAGUAACUAUAUUUAUGUUCCAACAAAAUCAGAAGAUUUUGAUGAGCCAUGGACUGCAAUAGAGGUUGGACAGCCGGUGCCCAGCUCGACUCACCGUAUGUCAUUCAGUUCCGCAGCCACUGCCCAUUGCAGUCCACUAAAUAGCCUCUGGGUGCUUCCCAGUUUGGUUUACGGGGUUGACCAGUGA